CCGCGACGAUGUGGCCCUGGAAGGAGUGGGUCACUUUUUUCGCGAAUUGGCCCUCUUCCUGCUCUAGGUCCCCUCCUGGUCUCAGACUCCCAGCCCACAUGCCCAGGCUCCAUUUACACACCUCCAAACAGCCACUCCUUGGUCACACUUUGGGCCUAGAGGUAUGCAUGCAGUGGCACAAUCUGUGCUACCCAAGACCCAGGAGGAGACCCACACAGACCCUAGAAGAAAGCUCAGAACCCUUGGGAAUUCCAGGACUGUGUCUAAAUGGUGAGAAGGAGGCCUACAGCGGGGCAUGGCCCCUUGAUCUCUGGGAGUCCUCACUCUGUAGGGGUGCUGAGACCAGAGGAGAGACAGGAGGCAAAGUCCAUUAAAGCAUGGAGCCCAGGGAAGGAAGCCCUCUUUCUUGAGCCCCAGAGAAAUACUGCCUGCCCUAGAAGUGUCCACAGAAGCGAUCCUAGGACUUGGACCAAAUUCAGAACUCAAGCCCAAUCAGACAUUUACUGAACAGGAGACAGCAGUAAGGAAAAAGAAUCACAGGGUUCACGAUAAACUCAUGUGUUAAGACAAGCAAACAGUGUGGGAAAACGACUCAGUAGACCCCAAAUUUCACUGCAGUGGGGCUGUCUUGGACAUGACUAAGCUCGAUUUCAAAAGAUGAGCAGGUGAGCAAUGAUGAAAACUUACCUCUUUCCUUCUUGUUUUUAACGUUUUCAGAACAGUUAAGCCCUGCACACACAUUGUUCACACUGGAAAUCAUUUACUCCUAGUAUGAAAGUUCAGUUUGUUUGGACUCUGUAAGUAAAAGGAACUAGAUGUCUAUCAGUUUCCUAAAAUAAUGGGGGUUUGUUGUAAGGUUUUGUUGGGUCAGAUUAUUACCGUAAGUGGAUCUCUAAACCUUCCUCUCUUCCAACACCACACACGAGUCCAGCUGGGUCUGCUUACACAGAUCCCCACCCCUGUAUUGCUAAAUCAGAUUUUGGGGAUUUUGAAAUGCAGAAUGGGGAGAAAAGGAAAAGAACGGGGAAAAACUAGAAAUCCAAAGACUGGAUCUGGGGCAGAAUUAGAGUUUUAUGUAGGAAANNNNUUUUUUUUUAAUUAAUUGGGAGUUUGGGAUUGACAUGUACACACUGCUAUAUUUAAAUUACAUAACCAACAAGCACUGGGAAUUCUCCUCAAUACUCAGCAAUAACCUAAAUGGGAAAAGAAUUUGAAAGAAUAGAUACAUAUAUACGAAUAACUGAAUCAUUGCCAUGCAUCUGAAACUAACACAACAUUGUUAAUCAACUCUAUUGCAAAAUAAAAUGAAAAAUUUUUUGAAAAAUUGGGAUGUUUGUGGGCUUCCCCAGAGGCUCAGUGGUAACGAAUCUGCCUGCAAACGCAGGAGAUAAUAGGUUUGAUAUCCGGCCUGCGAAGAUCCCACAGGCCUCGGAGCAAUUAAGCCCGUGUGCCAGAACUAUGGAACCUGUGCUCUAGAGCCCAGGAGCCACAGCUACUGACGCUCACGUGCCCUAGAGCCUGUGCUCAAAACAAGAGAAGCCACAGCAAUGAGAGGCCCAUGCACCACAACUGGAGAGGAGCUCCCGCUCGCCACAACUAGAGAAAAGCCCAUGCAGCAGCAAAGACCCAGCCCGGCCCCAAAUAAAUAAAUGAAACUAUUUUUUAAAAAUUAAGAUGUUUUAUUUUGGUCUACGUGUCCACUUCACAGUGUUUGAGAUCUACAAGUUGCAGACUGAAGUCAUGUUGAAAUUAAUUUAAUUGCUGGGACACAUUCUGUUGGUGGUGACUUGGUUAUCUGAUGAGACCCUGUGGGAGAAGGCUUUAUGAGCUUACAGGUGUCUGUAGGAAUAAGCAUUUGGGACUCUCACAUAGAUGUGUGGGAACAUCUAUAUUAAUACAUCCAUGGUUAUCAGAACAUAAUGCAACAAUUUUAGAGGUGGUUUAGGAUCAAAAGCAGCUUCAAUAACUCUCAUCAACCACUAUAUGACUCUAUAUACCCACAUCUUGUCUCUAAUCACCCCUGCCACUACCAACUGACCAGCCAGGGUUUUCCUCAGUCCCUGGCUCUGAUGAUUUCAUGCCCUCUGCAUGCUAGCCUCUUUCUGUGUGUAUUUUUUUGGUUCCAGCCAUUGGUUGAAAAUUAAAGCAGUUUGCAAAUCUUCUAGUUCUCUUCCUUCUAAGAAAAUAAGAUUGUGUUUACCAGCCCACUAGAAGUUAUGUGGGGCCAUAUGAUUCUCUUUGGCCAGCGCAGUUGAGUAGAAGUGACACAUGUCAGCUCCAGGGGUAACUUUAAGAGUCAGGAUGUGCUUCACCACGCACUCCCUGUGUCCUCUGCUGUGAUCAUGGCCAGGAUGUCCCAGACAGUGGCUGCUCCAUCAGGCUGAGUCUCAGAGUGAGGAAGCUGACAUUGACAUUGGAAACUGAGCACCUAGACAACCUACAACAAACACGUGGCCCAAACAAGAAAUAANNNNNNNNNNNNNNNNNNNNNNNNNNNNNNNNNNNNNNNNNNNNNNNNNNNNNNNNNNNNNNNNNNNNNNNNNNNNNNNNNNNNNNNNNNNNNNNNNNNUGGCCCAAACAAGAAAUAAACCUGUUUCCUUCAACCAUGGAGAUCUGGGGCUUGUUCGUUACUGCAGCAGAAGCUAGCCCAAUUAGCCCUAUAAAUUAUUCUAACGUUCACUGAAGUCAGCACCACUGACCCAACCUUAUCCCAUUUGAUUCUGCUUCCUUCCAUUAUCUGGCUCUCUGUGUACAGAAAUAAAACACAAGAGAGAAUCUGUCUGGUCCAACUGAAUCACCACCAAUCUACUGGGCAGAACUCUUAUACCACAAUACUUUACAGGCCACUGUCCAGACCAUAAACUGAUUGUCUUGGGCCAUGUGUCUCCUCCAGGUUCAGCCAGCCUUGUUGCCAGAGGACACAGUUGGAGGGGGCAGAAAUGAUCAGUGACACAGAGCAUGGCUACACAUGCCUACAUAAACACCUAGAACUCCCCACUCAGCAUCAGUCAAGGGUAUAGUAAUCCAGAAGGGCCUGUAUGUGUAGCAUGAAUGUCCUCCUCAGUAAAUUAUAACCAAUAUAGAAUAUAGGACAACAAAACAGAAGACUUCAAAGAAGUUGUGAUGGAUUCUACGGAGCUGUCUUAACAAUCAUUUCCCAUCUUCCUCUUUCCUAUUUUAGUUUGCCUUCUGCCAACGGUCAGCUUCCAGAGUUUUACAGCUUAAACCUUUUAAGGUUUAUUAGCCCAGUGUUUCCGAAUCUUGGUGCACCAGACCUUUCACUUCUGAAUCUUGUUUGGGGAUUUGGGAGGAAGGGUAUUUGUAUGGAAGCUUUAUCAAGGAAGAAGACAGAGUGUACAGCUAAAUUUGAAUUUCAGAUAAAUAAUGAAUUUUUUAGUAUAAGUAUGCCCCAUGCAAUAUUUGAGAAAUACUUAUACUAUAAACAUUAUAAAUUCAAAUUUAACUAGACCUCCCUGGACAGGGAAACCAGGGACAAGGGCAGUGGCUGGAGGGAGGCAGAGCAACAUUUUUAAAGUUCCCCUAGUGAUUACCACUUGGGAAUUAAGAUUGAGAAUCUCUGGUCUUUCUCAAUCCAUCCUCAACCUCGUGGGAUAAAAGUUAUUAUUUUCUAUCAUUAGAGCUCUGAGUAAGUGUAGAAUGGAAUUCUUCUUUUUCAAAUAUACUUUAGAUGAUGGAUUUCACAUUCAUUCACUUCUGCUUUUCCCCUCCAUAGCACUGUGAAAGCAGUGACUGACAGCCGUAGCAUUGACUUUAUGAGUGAAUAACACAUAGUCUCCCAUUAUGGAAAUG
This 3810-nucleotide long non-coding RNA is filed under the name Capra hircus (goat). Its description in RNAcentral is "lncRNA (ENSCHIG00010000854.1)". The stretch from base 3391 to 3442 matches the Rfam family "mir-1302 microRNA precursor family". Lineage: Eukaryota; Metazoa; Chordata; Mammalia; Artiodactyla; Bovidae. The record is from RNAcentral.